CACUUCACAACACAAGCUUCUCACAUUCACUGAAUGACUUUUCUGGGAAACAAAAAAGAAUAAUAAACACUGAUGAAUGACCUUCUACGGCAAUUCAACUAACUGAUUUACGUUAUCAGACAGCGGAACGUAUUCACUUCAAAACACUCCGAAUGAUUGAUAAACAGCAGCUGCGCUGAUCAAAACAUGGCUGCUGCCCCUAGCGGGGAUUUUUACAAUCUCCAUAUCUACAAAUCAAAACAAAACCUCAUCAAUUUUUCAGAUAUCUGCAGUUUCGUUGGAAAUUUUUCAAACUUCAUUAUUUUUAAGCAAUGCUGUAAUGUUUCCAGCAUAAGUAACUUUUACGUUCGUGUUUAAUAAUGUGCCACACCAAAUUCAUAGUCAUGUCACUUAGUUUCCAUGUAGGACUUGAAUGAAGGUACAAGAGCACUGUGGUUUUUGUGUAACAGACAACGACUCUACAAACGGCUAAAUCAUGAAAAUACACAUUCUAGGGUUCAUUUUAUGUUUCAUCCUGCAAUUUCGCUCAUUUUGCUGUGAAGAUUGCUCCAGUAAAAAUGGCGACUAUGAUACAAAGUGUCCUGGAGAGAAUGAUCCAAGCACGUAUGAUACGUGUUGCUGGAGUAAUUCCACGGUAUUUUGCUGUCCUGCAGUGGACCCUAAUGCAUUUUAUAUCAAUCCUACGUAAGUCCUCAUCUAACUUCAUCUUUGAUUUAUAUUUUUCAUAACUAUUAACUGUCAAAUUAAUAAUCUGGUGUCUAUAAAAAAAACCAAUUACAUUUUAUUGGGGCAUUUUUUUGUCACUGAAAUAAAAUUUUGCUUUUUUAAAGUUUUAUCAAGGGCUAAUUAUAGUAAAGAUAUUUCAAAAAAUCCUUGAACCCUUGCAAGAGAGAUCUUUCUUUUCCCCUCAAAAAUUCAUCAAAGGAAUUAAACCUCAGAAAACACUAUAUUUGGAAAGACGCGUUUAAAAGCGUCAUGAAUGUCACAAAAACAGGGCCUACAUUUGUAAUGUCCGUAACGCUCUUUUUUCAACAUAGCUCUUUUUGAGGUUUGAUUCCUUUAAUGAAACUUUGAAGGAAAGGAGAGCUCCUGCAAGGGAUGAAAGUUGUUUAAAAUUUUUUACUCCAAAUAAUUAGUCUUUUCAAAACUUUAAAAAGUCAAAACUUAAUUUCUGUAACAAAAAAAAGGGGGAAAAAUGCCCAAUGGUACUUAAAAACACUGAAAUGAUGAUCACUUUCUAAUCUUUGUGAAUUUUUUUUUUUUUUUUUUUUUUUUUUUUUGUAAAGUUUCAUCUUCCUGUAACCAAAGAUGUUCCUUUCCUUUGCUGCAAUGCAAACAUUGCAAGAUCC
Molecule: long non-coding RNA, 1349 nt
Filed under: Bemisia tabaci
Lineage: Eukaryota; Metazoa; Arthropoda; Insecta; Hemiptera; Aleyrodidae
Description: lncRNA ENSASIAIIG008289
Source: RNAcentral